UUGAACGCUGGCGGCAUGCUUUACACAUGCAAGUCGGACGGCAGCACAGAGAAGCUUGCUUCUUGGGUGGCGAGUGGCGAACGGGUGAGUAAUAUAUCGGAACGUACCGAGUAAUGGGGGAUAACUAAUCGAAAGAUUAGCUAAUACCGCAUAUUCUCUGAGGAGGAAAGCAGGGGACCUUCGGGCCUUGCGUUAUUCGAGCGGCCGAUAUCUGAUUAGCUAGUUGGUGGGGUAAAGGCCUACCAAGGCGACGAUCAGUAGCGGGUCUGAGAGGAUGAUCCGCCACACUGGGACUGAGACACGGCCCAGACUCCUACGGGAGGCAGCAGUGGGGAAUUUUGGACAAUGGGCGCAAGCCUGAUCCAGCCAUGCCGCGUGUCUGAAGAAGGCCUUCGGGUUGUAAAGGACUUUUGUCAGGGAAGAAAAGGCUGUUGCUAAUAUCAAUAGCUGAUGACGGUACCUGAAGAAUAAGCACCGGCUAACUACGUG
This 489-nucleotide ribosomal RNA is filed under the name uncultured bacterium. RNAcentral's name for it is "partial 16S ribosomal RNA". It matches the Rfam family "Bacterial small subunit ribosomal RNA", at positions 30 to 507 of the family's 1533-position model. The record is from RNAcentral.